CAAUAGCGUAUAUUAAAGUUGUUGCGGUUAAAAAGCUCGUAGUUGGAUUUCUGCUGAGAACGACCGGUCCGCCCUUUGGGUGUGUAUCUGGCUCUUUCUUGGCAUCUUCUUGGUGAACGUUGCUGCACUUGACUGUGUGGAGCGCUACCCAGGACUUUUACUUUGAGGAAAUUAGAGUGUUUCAAGCAGGCAUACGCCUUGAAUACAUUAGCAUGGAAUAAUAAGAUAGGACCUCGGUUCUAUUUUGUUGGUUUCUAGAGCUGAGGUAAUGAUUAAUAGGGAUAGUUGGGGGCAUUCGUAUUCAACUGUCAGAGGUGAAAUUCUUGGAUUUGUUGAAGACGGACUACUGCGAAAGCAUCUGCCAUGGAUGUUCUCAUUGA
RNAcentral lists this ribosomal RNA (380 nucleotides) under uncultured eukaryote. RNAcentral describes it as "partial 18S ribosomal RNA". It matches the Rfam family "Eukaryotic small subunit ribosomal RNA", at positions 592 to 976 of the family's 1831-position model. The record is from RNAcentral.